AGUGAACGCUGGCGGUAGGCCUAACACAUGCAAGUCGAACGGCAGCACUGGAGAGCUUGCUCUCUGGGUGGCGAGUGGCGGACGGGUGAGGAAUACAUCGGAAUCUACUUUUUCGUGGGGGAUAACGUAGGGAAACUUACGCUAAUACCGCAUACGACCUACGGGUGAAAGCAGGGGAUCUUCGGACCUUGCGCGAUUGAAUGAGCCGAUGUGGGAUUAGCUAGUUGGCGGGGUAAAGGCCCACCAAGGCGACGAUCCGUAGCUGGUCUGAGAGGAUGAUCAGCCACACUGGAACUGAGACACGGUCCAGACUCCUACGGGAGGCAGCAGUGGGGAAUAUUGGACAAUGGGCGCAAGCCUGAUCCAGCCAUACCGCGUGGGUGAAGAAGGCCUUCGGGUUGUAAAGCCCUUUUGUUGGGAAAGAAAUCCAGCUGGUUAAUACCCGGUUGGGAUGACGGUACCCAAAGAAUAAGCACCGGCUAACUUCGUGCCAGCCGCCGCAGUAA
RNAcentral lists this ribosomal RNA (506 nucleotides) under uncultured bacterium. RNAcentral describes it as "partial 16S ribosomal RNA". It matches the Rfam family "Bacterial small subunit ribosomal RNA", at positions 29 to 523 of the family's 1533-position model. The record is from RNAcentral.